AGCGAACGCUGGCGGCAGGCCUAACACAUGCAAGUCGAACGAACUCUUCGGAGUUAGUGGCGGACGGGUGAGUAACACGUGGGAACGUGCCUUUAGGUUCGGAAUAACUCAGGGAAACUUGUGCUAAUACCGAAUGUGCCCUUCGGGGGAAAGAUUCAUCGCCUUUAGAGCGGCCCGCGUCUGAUUAGCUAGUUGGUGAGGUAAUGGCUCACCAAGGCGACGAUCAGUAGCUGGUCUGAGAGGAUGAUCAGCCACAUUGGGACUGAGACACGGCCCAAACUCCUACGGGAGGCAGCAGUGGGGAAUCUUGCGCAAUGGGCGAAAGCCUGACGCAGCCAUGCCGCGUGAAUGAUGAAGGUCUUAGGAUUGUAAGAUUCUUUCACCGGGGACGAUAAUGACGGUACCCGGAGAAGAAGCCCCGGCUAACUUCGUGCCAGCAGCCGCAGUAA
RNAcentral lists this ribosomal RNA (449 nucleotides) under uncultured bacterium. Its description in RNAcentral is "partial 16S ribosomal RNA". It matches the Rfam family "Bacterial small subunit ribosomal RNA", at positions 29 to 523 of the family's 1533-position model. The record is from RNAcentral.